This 148-nucleotide small nuclear RNA is filed under the name Dasypus novemcinctus (nine-banded armadillo). RNAcentral's name for it is "U1 spliceosomal RNA (ENSDNOG00000030074.1)". It matches the Rfam family "U1 spliceosomal RNA". From Rfam's summary of the family: U1 is a small nuclear RNA (snRNA) component of the spliceosome (involved in pre-mRNA splicing). Its 5' end forms complementary base pairs with the 5' splice junction, thus defining the 5' donor site of an intron. There are significant differences in sequence and secondary structure between metazoan and yeast U1 snRNAs, the latter being much longer (568 nucleotides as compared to 164 nucleotides in human). Lineage: Eukaryota; Metazoa; Chordata; Mammalia; Cingulata; Dasypodidae. The record is from RNAcentral.
AUACUUAAUUGGAAGGGGAGACACGGGGAGCACCAACGUAGUUUUCCCAGGAUGAGGCUGAUCCACUGGACUUGGGAGGUGCUGAGCCCUGGACACGUGGAGAACCCAACUGUAUGAUGUGUGCUAGUAGGGUUCGUGCUCUCCCUUG